RNAcentral lists this ribosomal RNA (331 nucleotides) under uncultured bacterium. RNAcentral describes it as "bacterial SSU rRNA". It matches the Rfam family "Bacterial small subunit ribosomal RNA", at positions 568 to 898 of the family's 1533-position model. The record is from RNAcentral.
CGCGUAGGCGGAUGUUACAGUCAGGCGUGAAAUUCCUGGGCUCAACCUGGGGGCUGCGUUUGAUACGUGAUGUCUGGAGUUCGGAAGAGGGUCGUGGAAUUCCCAGUGUAGAGGUGAAAUUCGUAGAUAUUGGGAAGAACACCGGUGGCGAAGGCGGCGACCUGGUCCGAUACUGACGCUGAGGCGCGAAAGCGUGGGGAGCAAACAGGAUUAGAUACCCUGGUAGUCCACGCUGUAAACGAUGUGCGCUGGAUGUUGGGUGACAUAGUCAUUCAGUGUCGCAGCUAACGCGAUAAGCGCACCGCCUGGGGAGUACGGCCGCAAGGUUGAA